AAAACAGUCACGUGCUUCAACCGGGAGAGCCAGUGAACGAAUGAGUCGUCUAAUUUUUGUUUAAAACACCGUUUACAAACAAAAUAGGCUACCACUAACGUUACACCCGAGCAGCUGAGAUGAAUAGAAAUUCUAACCGAUAACUCACUCCAGGUAGAACCGCUCGAUACACGGAGUUUACCAUCUCCACCGUUGUAGGAAUCGCUCUGGCAGGUCACGUGAUCUCGCUGCCAGUCAGGGAAAUGUUGGACUGCUUUGGCUUCAUCCAGUCGAGUGUUACGCGUCAGUGGAGUGGAGAGCGAGAGAGCUGAAUACCACAAUCAUGGCAACCACAGCAGCAGAAACCGAAACCCGCCAGAGACUGCUGCGAAACGUGAAGAAGGAGACAUGUGACGGUGUAAUCCAAGGAUGAUGGUUAAUACAUGUAAAUAGAAGAACAAGGCCACCAACAGAGAUGGAGAGGAAACAUGGGAGAAGGUGAAGAGUGCGGGGGAGGAAAGGGACCUA
Molecule: long non-coding RNA, 507 nt
Filed under: Sinocyclocheilus anshuiensis
Lineage: Eukaryota; Metazoa; Chordata; Actinopteri; Cypriniformes; Cyprinidae
Description: lncRNA (ENSSANG00000047672.1)
Source: RNAcentral